Molecule: unclassified non-coding RNA, 142 nt
Filed under: uncultured Dothideomycetes
Lineage: Eukaryota; Fungi; Ascomycota; Dothideomycetes
Description: sequence contains ITS2
Source: RNAcentral
CGACCUCGAGCGUAGCUUGGUGUUGAGGAUUGCAGCAGCAUCCUUUAAAAGCAUUGGCGGCAGCGCAGCUCAAUCGCAACAAAAUGCGUGCAAAGCAGCCAACUGCCCGCCAAAACAAACCCCUCACAGGGUAACUUUACCA